RNAcentral lists this ribosomal RNA (254 nucleotides) under uncultured bacterium. RNAcentral describes it as "partial 16S ribosomal RNA". It matches the Rfam family "Bacterial small subunit ribosomal RNA", at positions 524 to 776 of the family's 1533-position model. The record is from RNAcentral.
GACGAACCGUGCGAACGUUAUUCGGAAUCACUGGGCUUAAAGCGCGUGUAGGCGGGAGGGCACGUCCGUUGCUGAAAUCCCCCGGCUCAACCGGGGAACGGGCGCGGAUACGACUCUCCUUGAGGGGCGUAGGGGGACCUGGAACUUCCGGUGGAGCGGUGAAAUGCGUUGAGAUCGGAAGGAACACCCGUGGCUAAGGCGGCUCUCUAGUACGGUACUGACGCUGAGACGCGAAAGCGUGGGGAGCGAACAGG